GUUUUAAUAAUUUAAAAAAAAAUAAUAGUUUUGUAAACUAUAAAUAAGUUAUUAUACUUUUAAAACU
Molecule: transfer RNA, 67 nt
Filed under: Scaphidium quadrimaculatum
Lineage: Eukaryota; Metazoa; Arthropoda; Insecta; Coleoptera; Staphylinidae
Description: tRNA-Thr
Source: RNAcentral